UAAGAGCUUGCUCUUAUGAAGUUAGCGGCGGAGGGUGAAUAACACGUGGGUAACCUGCCCAUAAGACUGGGAUAACUCCGGGAAACCGGGGCUAAUACCGGAUAACAUUUUGAACCGCAUGGUUCGAAAUUGAAAGGCGGCUUCGGCUGUCACUUAUGGAUGGACCCGCGUCGCAUUAGCUAGUUGGUGAGGUAACGGCUCACCAAGGCAACGAUGCGUAGCCGACCUGAGAGGGUGAUCGGCCACACUGGGACUGAGACACGGCCCAGACUCCUACGGGAGGCAGCAGUAGGGAAUCUUCCGCAAUGGACGAAAGUCUGACGGAGCAACGCCGCGUGAGUGAUGAAGGCUUUCGGGUCGUAAAACUCUGUUGUUAGGGAAGAACAAGUGCUAGUUGAAUAAGCUGGCACCUUGACGGUACCUAACCAGAAAGCCACGGCUAACUACGUGCCAGCAGCCGCGGUAAUACGUAGGUGGCAAGCGUUAUCCGGAAUUAUUGGGCGUAAAGCGCGCGCAGGUGGUUUCUUAAGUCUGAUGUGAAAGCCCACGGCUCAACCGUGGAGGGUCAUUGGAAACUGGGAGACUUGAGUGCAGAAGAGGAAAGUGGAUUUCCAUGUGUAGCGGUGAAAUGCGUUAGAGAUAUGGGAGAGAACACCAGUUGCGAAGGCGACUUUCUGGUCCUGUAACUGACACUGAAGGCGCGAAAAGCGUUGGGG
This 716-nucleotide ribosomal RNA is filed under the name Bacillus cereus. RNAcentral's name for it is "bacterial SSU rRNA". It matches the Rfam family "Bacterial small subunit ribosomal RNA", at positions 73 to 767 of the family's 1533-position model. Lineage: Bacteria; Bacillati; Bacillota; Bacilli; Caryophanales; Bacillaceae. The record is from RNAcentral.